Non-coding RNA from Odocoileus virginianus texanus, 434 nucleotides. Lineage: Eukaryota; Metazoa; Chordata; Mammalia; Artiodactyla; Cervidae. The record is from RefSeq and is a predicted model, not a curated record.
AGAUGGGCUCUCUGUCCUAGGACCAUGGCCCAGUUUGUCCGUAACCUCGCGGAGAAGGCCCCGGCGCUGGUCAACGCUGCUGUGACUUACUCAAAGCCUCGAUUGGCCACGUUUUGGUACUAUGCCAAGGUUGAGCUGGUUCCUCCAACCCUUGCUGAGAUCCCUACAGCAAUUCAGAGCUUGAAAAAACUUAUCAACAGUGCUAAAACCGGUAGCUUCAAACAGCUCACUGUUAAGGAAGCUCUACUGAAUGGUUUGGGGGCCACUGAGGUGUGGAUGUGGUCUUAUGUUGGUGAGAUCAUAGGCAAGCGUGGCAUCAUUGGCUAUGAUGUUUGAAGACCUAUUUUUAACAUGUGAUUAUAUUUGCUUUAUUAUUCAAGUGUUCUUGGACCAUGUGUGAGCAGACUGCUAUUUGAAUAAAAUAAGAUGAUGUG